GCUCCGGUAGUGUAGUCCGGCCAAUCAUUCCGGCCUUUCGAGCCGAAGACCCGGGUUCAAAUCCCGGCCGGAGCA
Molecule: transfer RNA, 75 nt
Filed under: Methanothrix sp.
Lineage: Archaea; Methanobacteriati; Methanobacteriota; Methanomicrobia; Methanotrichales; Methanotrichaceae
Also listed under: 10 other names
Description: tRNA-Glu
Rfam family: tRNA
About the family: Transfer RNA (tRNA) molecules are approximately 80 nucleotides in length. Their secondary structure includes four short double-helical elements and three loops (D, anti-codon, and T loops). Further hydrogen bonds mediate the characteristic L-shaped molecular structure. tRNAs have two regions of fundamental functional importance: the anti-codon, which is responsible for specific mRNA codon recognition, and the 3' end, to which the tRNAs corresponding amino acid is attached (by aminoacyl-tRNA synthetases). tRNAs cope with the degeneracy of the genetic code in two manners: having more than one tRNA (with a specific anti-codon) for a particular amino acid; and 'wobble' base-pairing, i.e. permitting non-standard base-pairing at the 3rd anti-codon position.
Source: RNAcentral